GAUGAAGAACGUAGCGAAAUGCGAUAAGUAGUGUGAAUUGCAGAAUUCAGUGAAUCAUCGAAUCUUUGAACGCACAUUGCGCCCCUUGGUAUCCCGAGGGGCAUGCCUGUUCGAGCGUCAUUUCACCACUCAAGCCUGGCUUGGUGUUGGGCGACGUCCUCUUUGGGGACGCGCCUCGAAACGCUCGGCGGCGUGGCACCGGCUUUAAGCGUAGCAGAAUCUUUCGCUUUGGAAGUCGGGGCCCCGUCUGCCGGAAGACCUGCUCGCAAGGUUGACCUCGGAUCAGGCAGGGAUUCCCGCUGAACUUAAGCAUAUCAAUAAGCGGAGGA
This 329-nucleotide unclassified non-coding RNA is filed under the name soil metagenome. RNAcentral's name for it is "partial contains 5.8S ribosomal RNA, internal transcribed spacer 2, and large subunit ribosomal RNA". The stretch from base 1 to 120 matches the Rfam family "5.8S ribosomal RNA", at positions 35 to 154 of the family's 154-position model. The record is from RNAcentral.